AAUUGAGAACGUCCCGGUCACGGAACGCGCAUCAAUAAACUACUUCUCUCACAUAAGCUUAAAAACAACAGCCAUAAAAUACAAAUAAAGCACAUUGCCUAAAACCUAGCUCCUAAGCCACUGCCUCAACCCUGCUGAUCCACACAUGUAGGUCUAACCCCUACACCAUAAAUUGGUGCACCGGGUUGUAAACAACAAACCCGGUAAGCUUAAAAAGCUCGUAUGAGUAACACUCAAAAUAAAACUCAACAAUUCCAACAUCACAUAAGAUAACACUGGAAAUUCCUGCAUUAAUAACUUAGUUCAGGAAUCACCUAAAAAGCAAGAGAAUUCAAUAGAAAUAAUGAAGAGAACACAACAAUUCAAAAUCACUCAAAAUCAUAAAUGAAACAAAUAAUUAAAAGGAAACGCAACAAAUCACAAUCAAACAAAUCAUAAUGAAAUCCAACAACAAAAAACAUAGUUCAGGAAUUACUUAAAACAAGAAAUUUAAAUGACAACAUAUAAGAACAUCACACAAUCAUUUCUCAACCUUUACUUAUGUGUUCGUCAACGCAUAGUCAUCCCUCAUAAGUAACUAAACAAACUCGUACUCAUGGGUUCGUCAACACAUAGUCAUCCCCCAUGAAGUACCGACAGACUAGAGCUCUAUACUGACCGUAACCAAUCACCCGGCCAAGGCUUGGUUCCCGGUCCACCACGAAGGCUCCUAAUCUAAUGCACACAGUCACCACUAAGGCACACAUUCAAAUACUCUCCCAUCAUAACACUUAUCAAAUCACAAAAUAAUAAUAUCAUCAUAACCGUAACCAAUCACCGAUUAAAGGCUUGGAACCUGGUUUGACUAUUUAAACAUCAAUUCACAAUAUAAAAAAAAUGUCAUCAACAACAACACAACAGCACUUCAUAAAUUAUAUCUUUCCAUCUAGAUAUAUUUAUAUACACAAAGACAUAGAUAUUCCCACUAGAAUAAUCUAUCAACAACCAUAUUUCAACAUCACAAUAUCACAUGAUCGGAAGUCCUUUUGAAAGGUUAUUAUUAACAGGAAACUUGUUUUCACUUACCAUGAGCCGUUGACGAUCAAGUUCAUUUAUAUUUAAAAACAAAGUCAUUUUCCUUCAAGGACAACUUCACAAUUAAUAAUAAUAAACUAUAAAGUAAACUCGGUUCUUUUAUGAACAAUGUGAGAUUUACUCACAAUAUAAUAAUAUCAUCAUCAUAAUCAUCAUUAAAAUCAUUAUCAUAAUCAUCAUCAUAAUAAUUAUCAUCAUCAACAUUUCCAUCAUCAUCAUCAUCAAAAUCAUCAUAAUACUUAUCAUCAUUAUCAUCAUCAUGAUAAUUAUAAAUGAUUGGUGCCAAAGUGGACCUUAGUGAGAUUUUACUCACCUAAAAAUCCCGCUGCGUCUUUACAAAAGAAACUCAUGAACCAAGCUCAACACACUUCACAAAUCACCUAUAAUUACACAAUUAAUAAUUUAAUAACCACUUAAACACAAAGAACAUUUCACCCUUAACAAGCCUUAACCCAUGAUUUGCCCAAAAAGACAACCUUCUUCCGAGACCUCCCAAGGUCAUCGAACACUUAACCACACUCCCCCGCUACCUAACUUUGGAUUCUCAUAGCUCACACUUCGCACAAGUCUACUAUAACAUAGAAUCUAACAAGCAAAACUUACUCAAACUUGACCUAAUCUCAUAAUAUACCAACAUGCUCGCAUCAACAAGAACUAGCUAACCAAAGCAACUAAACCUACACACCCUGCCCGACGCGCCACCACGAGCGGCGGCGAGUGGGCCCCACGCGCCACCCCAACACCUUCAACAACUCAACAAACUUCCAACAGCAAACUUGAACAUUACUACAAGGGGGACACUUUUCAUACCUGAAGGUUCAACUAGUUCGGCCGGAAAUCACCAGAAACUCGUCGGAAAGUUUGGAAUCCACCACCGCCACUCUCCGUCGUGAGUCGCGCUUCAAGGCCACCAGAAGUCGGACCAGGACACCAAGGGGCUUCUAUCCCGACUGUUUCCAAGCCGCGUCGCCGGAGGUGGGAAUCCCGACCGGUCUCCAAGCCGAACUUUCGAGCUUCGGAACCCACGCACCACUAAAAAUCGGCGCAAGUCACCACCACAGGGCAGCUCGCACGGAGGAAAGGAAGAGAACCCGACCGGUUUCAGCGUCUAGGUAGGUCGGAGGUGGCCGGAAAAGCCAGGUCGGGUCAGGCGGGUUCGGGUCGGGUCAGGCGGAAAUCUCAGAGUGAAGGUGGCAUGAGAGAGAGAGAGAAGAGAGGAGGGAUGGUUUCCGGAAAUGAAAGGAAACCCUAAACUUUUGUUAUUUAACCCAAAAUUUUCGUAAAGCCACGAAGACCAUAACUUUCUCAUACGAAGUCCGUUUUACGCAUGCUACGUGUCUACGAACUCCUAUCGUCGUGCUCUACAACUUCCGUGAAGGAAGUUUUCCGAGAAACCCAACAGAUUAAAAAGUCAACUCUUGACUCUUCAAAAUAAAGCAUUUUCAAGGAAAUAAAAACUCGACUACUUCCAGUCCACUCACCAAACCAUAAAUCCAUACAACUCUUACUUAAAUAAUUUCCAAAAUAAUAUUAGAAACUAAUAUCAAAUUUCCGGGGUAUUACAAAUAUGUAUAAAGGCACUGUUAUUGCUCAGUGAGUUGGGGGAGGGGAGUGAGAAAGAAAGUUAUGGUGGUGUUUCUUGUGGCCUGUGGGUAUUUAAUAUUUCCUAUAAAUUCAAUUUGGUACAGGAAUUAACAUUAUGGUGGUGGGUAAAUGGCUUUGGGUUUGGUAAGUGAAUUGUAGUUGAUAUAGCAAUAGGUUAAUGAUUUUUUGAAACCAAAUUCAUAACCCCAACACUUCUUAUCUGAACCCAGAGCCAACAAAUCUUGAAAUAAAGGCUAGUUUAAAAAAGAGAUUGGAAUCACAAAUCGCUUCUUCUGACUUUCUCCCACGUAUACUGCAAAAAAGCCUUACGGGAUUGAAGCUGUCUCAGAUCAAUAACCAACCCAGCUAAGAAGCACCUCUUAUGCUUAUGCUAUUCACGAUAUGAACCCUAAUCACAAACCGAUUUCAGUACCACAAAACCAAAGAAGCAAUCAGAGUCUCAGUUUUACAUCGACCCAUUCUGAUAAAACCAUAACAGAAACCAAAUUCAUGUUACAAUCGGUGAAAAAUUGCUCAAAUGUUCUCAAACAAAUUCAAACUCAUUACAUCAUUCCAUUUGAUGAUCAGAAUUUGAAGAAAAAAAGAAGAUAAAGAGAGAAAUCGAGGAAAACUAACCAAAUCUGGACCGAAGAAGAGCUUUUGCAGAGAGAUGAACAAAGAAGAUAGAGAGGAAGUGACACAGGUGAUAAGCUUUUGCAGACGUUUUGAGCUUUUGUAGUUUUCACGCACCAAAUUUUUUUUAGAACCCAAGCAAACACUAAAUCCUUUUUGGUUGAAGACCGAAAAUUCUUCUACGCAUCAAGGUGCAAGUGAACUGAACGACUAAUAUACAAUAUUUUGAUUCGGUCAUCUACGUCGCACUACAUGCAUAUAUACUAAUACCAUUAAUAAAAUUAAAACCCAAAAAAUAGUCCCAAGUGUUUCCAACUAAGGAGGUGAUAAACACUAGGUCGAAAAAGAUUUACUUUUAUUAUGGGCGUUUAAUUUGAUCGGAUCAAAAAUAAAAAUGAAAUGAAGAAAUUUAGAGUCUCUAAUCUUCAUUUGAUCUUGUCAUUCAACGAUUUGAGUACUUACACAUCAAUGGUGUAAGUGCACCGUGGUGUGUAAAAUCUGUUUCGGUUGAAGACAUGGCCGGAUGACAUAGCGAGUACCAUGCAAAUACCAAUACGUGGCUUAAUCAUGUGCAUGGGCCAAGGGGUCAGGACAUUGUUCACGUGAACAGUAAUCCCCCUCUCCGUUUAAUAUAUACAUAUAGAGAUGUGACUGCAGACUUUUAUAUGCGCUAUUGCUAGUUAUUUAUAAAAGUGAAACUUUUAUGUACUAAGCUCAGCUAGUUUCUAGAAGACAAGGUGGUAUGUUGCAAAUACUGAUGGAAAAAGGUGUAAUUGUUAUAAACUAAAAUUGAGAUAGAGAGAAAAGAGAGAACAUAAUGAAGGAGGAAGAAGUGUCUAUUUCAUUCUCAUUAGGCUCUUUUAUAUAGGAGUAUGAUUUACAUCAUAAGGACAUAAUUAAUGAGUAUUUACAAAGACAUCCACAUAUAUUAUAAUAUUUACAACACUCCCCCUUGAAUGUCCACAAAUGAAUGAUAUGGUAUUGGACGCGCUUAUUUGUUGCCUCGUUAAAAUCCUUGCCAGGUAAUAAAAACCCUGUGAGAAAAAACAACCCUGGUCAAAGGAGAAAAAGAGUGCAACGUGCAUAUGUCCUAGAUAACAUACUUCUGGAUGCUCCCUCUAAUGAGAUUCUCCCCAUGAUUGUUGUAAGCUUUAUGUACCGUAAAUAACGGUUUGUUUUGUCUAUCAUUGAAGUGAGAUUUUGUUCGUUUUGCAUACAGGGGCUCAUCACAAGAUUUUCAUACCUGUAAAGUGAAAGCAACACCAACAGAGCUAUAUAAUUUAAUAAGUCUUACCUCAUUUACUAAUGUUAGAAACAACAUUACAUGUUCAAAUUUAUACACUAUGUAACAGCUAAACAACAUAAGCUAAUUGACACAUUUAACUAUGUAUAGUUUAAUACAUUAGAAAACAUCAUGACAUAUCUAGCCAUACACAUCAAUAUAUUUGUGUACUGAUAGGUUAUAUAUAAGCUCUUCAGGAGCUCCAAGUAAUUCAUAACUUCGCGAAAGUUAGAAUAUGUAGCAACAUAAUCCGAAUUCAAUUUUGCAGUCCAAUCAUAAUACUCAUUGAGGAAAUUUUGAUCACGUUAACUAUAACAGAAUGAAUAUAUAUGAGCUAGCUUUAGACUAUCGAUUGCAUGAGUAAACUUUAGUUUAACAGCCCAGCAUAACGAGAUAUGCUCGCCUUUGGGCAUCCCCUUCAUGGCUUUCUUCUUGGGUUCCAACCCAAGACACGUCUCACUAAUGGGAGUUGUGUUUGCAUGUAUAAGGCAUAUUAAUUACGUCAUUUCCCUUAGGCGGUAAUGAAUCUCAUAUUCAGACUUUCUCAAGUAUUCAUGGAUCGAUUUACAUUCGAAUCAUUCAUGUACUUGGAUCUUUAAGGAUUUGAUAAGCGAUACGCUUAUAAUGACGCUUUACUUUUGGGAUUUUGCUUUUAACAAAGUCUUUUAAGAUCCUCAUAAUAUACGAUGACAACUGCCGUGAGUCUCUUGUCAAUAUCUAUAUGUAACACCGUACUUACAGAAAAUUGUCACAUAUAAGGAAUGAUAUUCGUAAUCCUCUCUUGUAGACAUUGUGCCAUAGUGAUUUAUUUUCACUGUGAUUAAUACCCUUUUGUAUCAUGUAGGGUUAAAGGUCUAAAUAUCUUAUCACGUUUUAAAUAUUCAGUUUAAUCGGAAUUGCCUCUAUCCAGUUUGGCCAAUAAUAUGCUAUGUCGACAUUCAUAAUGAAACGUGGUAUUGCAUCAUACAGUCCUUAAUGGUCUUUGGUAGCUACCAUAUGUAAAUUUUCAUCGAUGAUCAUCAUUCAUAAAUCCCACACAUUCUUAUAUGUAUGCAUUAGCUACUAUGAGCUUAUUGAUAUUGGAUACCCAUGCCACUUCUGGAGUAAAUAUUGUCACUUCUACGACAAACAUCUCUCAUAAAUGAAUUAUAUCUAGCGAAUAUGGAUCUAUAUUCAUAAUAUCAUAAAACAUUAUAGGACUUGUAUAAUCUUUUAUUUUCAGGAGCUUAAAACUUUAGACCUGGUGGAUACAUUCCACUCAAAUUCACGCCGCUAUUCAAAUGACAGUAGUCUUUUCUCUCCCCCUAACAGUGGGAAGACUGUCCUAUUAUGACCAUGCAUAAAAAAUGCGUUUAAAUGUCUAUCACUUCUUUUCGAGUGAAGAUGUCCAUUGGUUGGUGGCGAACCCAAACCAAGUUUAAGGUCAAAAACAUUAAAUUCAUGAGUAUCAACCAUAUUGAUGUAUUGUUGUAUCACCAAGAUAUCAUCCUCUGAUGGUGUAUUUUUAACCUUUGUAUGUGUAAUUGACACGACCCACCCCGAAUUUCACCUUGGAACUCGGAGUAAGUCGUGCGGGGACCACCUCCAAGGAAAAUUUACCGAAAAGAUUGGUAAAACCUCCCUUGGAAAUUGACAACCCUAACCCGAAAAAUUUCCAAUUCACACUCUUACUACAACACGUCCAAAAAAUAUCACACAAUUAUCCAGCUAAUAAAAGCAAAUAUUAUCCUUCAGAAAUUCUAAACAUAAAGUCAACCGACCGAGCACACCACCGAAAUAAUAUACAAUAAUCCCAAAGUAUUCAGAGCUACUAGACACUAGCGGAAGCAAGAAAACACUAGUAGGUUAAACAGGUAACCUACUGAUGAAAACUGGCGGAAAAGCGGGUAACUAUGCCUCGUCUCUUACUAGGUCCAACCCGAACUCUGCAGACUGGGCAUUUUAAAACGAAGAGCCCAGAGGAAAACAUGUGGAACAGUUAGAGUGAGUGGACAAAAAUAAAUUAAAUAAAAAUAUUUCAUUAUGCUUCCCCAAUUUAAUUUCUCAAUAAAAUAAUACUGCAUGCAAUCGCUCAAAAGCGCUCAACUCAAAACCUGGCAACUUCACGACCAGCACCGGCUAGUCUCCAAAACUUAAUAAAAUACAGCCUCUCAGGCUAAAUUAUAUAUAAACAUAUAUAAGUGUAUGUAUUUACACUCGUCAGACUCCUUGUAUGAAUUCUAAGAACAAAUUAGAAAAAAAUAAAAAUUCAUACAAGGCUACUACGCUUGCGUCUAACGCUCAUGUCACACCAUAAUGGAAUUGUACCUCAGUAUAGCGGAAAAAGCACGAGUGUAUAUACGUGUGGACUCCCUAUAUGAAAACCUAAAUAAACCAAAUAAGAAAAUAGUUUUCAUAUAGGGUUACUACGCUUGUGUCUAACACUCACGUCACACCAUAAUGGUAUUUUACCUCAUUAUGGCGGAUCAAACACGUAUGGCUAGCUAGCAUUUAUAUAUACAUACUAUCCUCAUAAACAUCCAAUAAACAUAUCCACCGAAAAUCUCAUUUUCGGGAUCUCUCCAAAUGAGGAAAAUUGCCAAAUAUCCGAGAAAUAAAUAAAUCUCAGGAAAAGAAAUAAAUGAUCAACAAAUAAUUCAUCGCAUGCUUUUCAAUUAAAAUAAAGGUCCACUCACAAAUUAGGCCUAAGCCUGAUGACGCUCCGAGGCUUUCUCUGCUCGGGCUCCUCUCGUCUUAUUCCAAAUAUAUAAUUAAUUUCCCACCAAAAAUCCAAUAAUUAAACAAAAUGGGCAAAAUUAAACGUGAGCCUCCCACACACUCAUCAUUGCCCAAAUUCGCCAUUCUUAACUCAAUACGGCUCAAACUUCGCCGAACAUACCGGCAGCCGUAAAAACAACUUCCCAUAGAAUACGACUUAAAUCCUACGGCCGGAUUCUACAUUAAUUAACCGCCAAAAAUACUAAACUUCGGAAAUUCACAAACCUAUCCAAAACUCAUCCAAAAAUUCCAUAACUCACUUCAAUAAACUCCCCUUAAUAUUCCAAAUCUAAAAACAUUAAAAUCUCCCAAACAGCUCCGGCUCCACCGGCAACGGCGGCCGGAGGCCGAUUCCGGCGACCUCCAAUUCCUAUGAAAUUUUAACAGCAUCUUCCUCUCAUCAUGCUCUACAACUUUCCUAACUAGCACAAACCCAAAAUCCAAGCCUAGCUAUGCCAAUCGAACAAAAACAUCAAAAACGCCCUAGAGCUUCCACCUCAAAUUUCUCCUUACCUGGAGCAAACCGGAGUGAGUCCUUUUAGGGCAAGGCAGCUGGGUUAGAGACCUACAAAACCGUACCAUGCUUGUCCGGAUUGGUGGCCGGAGGAGGGAGUUCCGGCAAAAAGCUUCCCGGCGUUUCCGGCGAGUUUUCUCUUCUUCCGGCGGGCUAACGGCUCGGGGGCUAGGCCGGGGAGGGAGAGGAGGUGAUGGGGGUCCGAACUGGGGUGGAGUGGUGGCUGGUGGCUGGCCGGACGGCGGCAGUUGGCAGCUGGAAGUUUCCGGUGAAGGGAGAGAGAGCACGAGAGGGAGAAGGAAGAGAAAAGAGAGAAGAAGAGAAAGAGAGGAAAUGGGUUGGGCCUCUCCAACCGGUCCAACUCCACUAUCAUACCCAACUCCCACAAAAUAAAACACCCCGAAAAAUAAUACCCGAAUAAAAAUUACCUUUUACUGGCUAAAAUUUACCAUUUUUACCAUCGUCAUAUUUUCCUCAUACGAAUAAUCCUCCGCACAUAAUCGUCCCCGAAACCCCUCUAGGGACCAAUUAAACUAUUAACUCAAUGACGGAGACGGUAAAAUUCUUAUUAUAAACAAGCUAGUAAAUAAGGUAAAAAUAUAAGAGUCGGGAUGUGACAGUAAUAGUAUAGCCGCCAUAUUAGGAACUCGGACAUUUUUAAUGACAUUCUCGUCAGGAGAACCAUGUCACUUAGAUACACAUUCUUUCCACAUAUCAAAUGAGGUCAAGGUUGUUUUGUUAAUAUGGUUAGUCUCAUAGACUUUAACCCAAGCAAAUGUUUUUGCGCUAACAUAUAGUUUUGUCAUCACUAGCUUUAAUAAAUCACUAGCUGAGAUAUUUAUCCAGCACAAAAUGAGACAGUAGGUAAAUAUCCUACUAGUUAAGGCUAACAACUCAUGUCAUUCUUCAAGAACAAUUGUUCUCCCCCUCGUAACAAGAGGAGUGUCCAAGCCUGGGAGUGUCUCAUUAAGGUGAUAAACCAAAACAGAUAUGCGGCAAAUGAACAAUUUGCUUAGAGUAGCGUUAGCUAGCGGUCAUCAAGAUUUGUUACUGAUUUCAAGUAACACUUUAUGUAAAAUAUGAUAUAACUAAUCAUGUGUAAAAUAUGACAUAACUAGUCAUGUCAAAAUAAGGUAUAUUCUGUUCAAUGAACUUUUGGUUCAUGACAUUAUGUGUCUCAUUUUUUUGUAGAAUUUGACACGUAAUAGGCCGCAUAGCGAGAUACUGUGUGCUUUGGACCUCGCCUCACAAUUUUGUUCUUGGGUUGCAACCCAAAAUCCAUCACAAUAUGGGGAGGUAUGUUUGCAACAUGUUAGACACAUCUCCUACCCUAUCUCGAGUGAGAUGGGAUCUCACAUCACAUUAUGUGUUAUAUAUUCUAGAGACAUACUAGGGGCAUUUAAUAUAAAGAGGGGAUAAUAUGUGCUCUUCCGGAGCCAUCAUUCAUAUAUGUAAUUGAAGCUUCAAGCUCGAUUUUAUAAUGUUAGAACUACAGGUUCUCAGAAUGUUAACUUCAAGUUAACUGUUUCUCGAAACAUCAGGCUCGAGUAACUCUAGUGAAACUUUUAAUUCAUUGAUAUUUUAUACUUAAAACUUCAGGUUUGAGUUUCUACUGUUAGAACCAAGGUAACUCUUAUGAAAUUUUGAAAAAUAUUUCACUCAAAAUUUAUAUGUUUGAGAUAUAGGACUGUUAGCCCUUAUGAGUAACAAUAAAUUUUAGAAGAGAAAAAUAAUUAACAAACUCUAAAAUGGUAAGGAACAAGUAUAAAUAAAAUGUGACAAUGGAAACUUCUGAUUCCAUAAGAAGUGCAAGAACUUCUGGUCUAGUUGCCUUCAUGAAUAUGAUAAUCUUGUUUCUCUCCUCUAAUUUCACAAUAACAUUGCAUCAAAAUAAAGAGGAGCUUCAGGUCCUCAUAUAAUUAGGGAUCACAAGAUGUGGUUUCGAUGAUCAUUUAACUAUGAGGAACUUCUGGUCCUCGUUAAUUGCAUAAGUUUUGUGAAACUUCAUAUCACAAUUUUCAUUAGAUCAUUCUUAAGGAACUUCAGGCCUCUAUAGUUCAAUCAAGAGACAUCAUGUCUCAAUAUAUCUAUGAACAUAAAAUGCACAAAUAAAUAAUGAUAUUGCAUAAGAGGGUGUAAUUAUUAGCUUUCAUUGAGAACAAUCUUGACAAGAGUUGUCGCUUGACAAAAUUAUAUUUUUUGUCAAUAAUGGAUGACCAUUGGAAUUUGCAAGUAUUCUACACAUCAUUGUAGAUAUGGUGUGACAUAAAUAGUCAUGCCAAAGCAUAAAUGUAUUGUUAUCCUUAAACUUCUGGUUCAUGACAUGUUACGUCUAAAUAGACUUAAAUGCCGGUGUAAUAUAAAUCAGAUGAUAGACCAAACAAACUUUCCAAUAUCCGCUUUUGGCUCCAAACAUUGAAAUUAAUGUAAAGAUAUUCCACAUUCGUGUCAUUUUUGGCCUUUCCAUGAAAUCCAUUCAAACAAAUAUUCUUGAAGCUUAGGAAAUUCCUUCUUGGUCUAGGAGAUUACAAGGACUAUUUAAUGGACAAUUGUGUUCUAUUUGGAAGACUAAGAGCCUUUAACCAAAUUUGGCAGUUCCAGAUAUGGUGGUCACAUUAGUUUAAGAAGGCACUAAGAUGGAGAAAUAUUUUUGAUCACGGAGGAUUGUAUGUGUGGUGGCAUUGUCCGCAAGACAAAUAUCUUCCCCAUUUAUAAGUUGAGAGUGUUCAUGAUCUUUUUUCAUACGUUCAUAAUAAAAUGAACAUAGAUAAGUAACAAUGAAUAUAUUAUCGCAGUAAAUAGAAAUUAAAUGUAAUAAUACGAUAACUAUCAUCAAUGAAUAGGCACAGAAUAGAUAUAUAUAUAUAUAUAUAUAUAUAGAGAAAGGAUAUGAAGCGGACGUCCGCACUUUAGUGCGGACGUCCGUCCAUUCUCCACCCUCCGGCGCUGGCGACAGCGCGCCUCCACCCCAGAAGACUCCAGCAGCGUCCCCGAUCACUUUCCCUCCCCGGUGAGUCCGUUCUUUUCCAGUUUUCCGACGAGAUCACCCAAAACUUCAAACAAAGUCGAUCUCGCCGGAAAACUAGAAAUAAAUGGACUCGCCGGGGAGGGAAAGUGGUCGGGGACGCUGCUGAAGUCUUCUGGGGUGGAGGCGUGCCUUCGCCAGCGCCGGAGGGUGGAGAACGAACGGACGUCCGCACUUUAAGCCGAGUGCGGACGUCCGCUUCAUAUCCUUCCUGUAUAUAUAUGUAUAUAUAUAUAUAUAACUGUUUGUAUAUAUAUAAUUUGUAGACAUAUUUAUUACUUAAAUGCUUAUUAAAUGGUGCACAGAGUGGUCAAAACUAACUUUUGAUUGUCAAAUUUAUGACUAACAGUAUUUGGAAUGUAAAGUAAUCAACUAACCAUAAUCAUUCAUAAUAAUGACCUCAAAAUUAGUCAUGUUAACUGUCAAAGAAUUUGAAACAGUUGCAUCAUUAAUUCAAUAUGUAUUAAUUGCAAUAAUAAACAUAUUAAUCAUAUGGAAAUGUGUGUCACAUAUUAAGCAUAUUAAAUUUAAUUGUAUUUAUAAUAGAAUUCUAAACAAACGGUUGGUCAACAUUAUACCCAAAAAAAAUGUAUAUGUAUCAAUUGUAAAUAAUAACAUAACAUAAUAUAUAUCAUGUGAAACAAUGGAUAACAGAUACAUGAGAAUCCAAAUUUUACAUUGUGUGGUUACUAUAGCCAUAUCAGAAGACGCAAAUGCGUGUAUUCAUUGCUCUUGGUAGAAUAAUGAUUCCCAAUGUCGCAUAUUGAACAUAUGUUCCAAAGUUCCAUAAAAUUAUCCAUAGAAAUGCAUGGAAUUGCACCAUGAUAUUGCAAAACUCAUCCAAACAAAUGGGAAUAAGAACUAUAAAUUAUUUAUCUAAAUCAAUAAUAUACAACCCACCUAUAAUCUCAUAGAUCAUGGUUCAUGGUUUUAAGCAAUAAUCUUGCAUCGAUCAUAGACCACAUCAAUCAUCAUGGAUCCAAUCAUGCUGUUUAGAAUUUCAUGUUCAUGAGAAAGAAAUAUCAAUAUUGAAACUUCAGGUUCGAAUUUUGUGAACAAUGGAUCACAUGUACAUGUACAAAACUUCAGGUUUAUGCAAACAAUUAGAAUUGCAAGUCUAAUGUAAUAUUUGAACUUUAGGUUCAUAAUCUCGAAAAAUUUUUGGUUCAAGUAUUAUUAGUGAAACUUCUGGCUUACUAAUAUAAGCAAUUGUAAACAUAGAAUUGAUCAAUAUAAAUAAAGUAUAUGUGUAGACAAGAUAUAAUCAAAACAAAAAUGAACUCAUAGAUCGUAAGUAUGAAUAGUAAGCAACAAAAGUUGCACCAAUAUCUUAUAGAUCAUCAUGGAGUUUAUGUAACGGAAUGAGCGAUAUCGUGCUGAUAACGUGUUAUAAAUUAAGAUUGAGACAGAGAGAAAAGAGAGAACAUAAUGAAAAAGGAGGAAAAAGUGUCUCUUUCAUUCGCAUUAGACUCCUUUAUAUAAAAGUAUGAUUUACAUCGUAAGGACAUAACUAAUGAGUAUUUAUAAAAAUAUCCACAUAUAUUAUAAUAUUUACAACGGUAACCGUAAAAAGAAAAAAUGUGGGUUUGGCAGCGAAAAAGACGUUGGAAUCUGGGAAGGUGGAUUGUGACCGAUUAUUCUGAAUGGAACUAAAUUUUUUUGGGAGUUUCGGGCAAAGCAGCUGUGUUUCGAAACAGAUCGUGUUACAUAACAUUGUUUGUAAUUUUGUCAAAAAAAAAAAAAACUCAAAAAAUAAAGAAGAAACAGAGAGACGCCGAGAGAGGGAGAGAGAGAGGGGAGGAGGAUGAUGGAGAUGUGAUUUUGAGCAUUCAUCUCUUCUCUGUGCGUUAUCGAUCUCAUAUCAUUCGCUUCACCUCUCACCCAACACCACCCCAAAAAUGAUCGCCUGAUUCUUGCGGCGGUGUUUGGGAAUCCAAUUCCUUCAUUUCUAAAAAGAAGAAUAGUAUUAUUAUUUCCACGAUGUUGGGUAGGAAAACCAGCCAAGUCUGUGAUUCUUCCUCCUCCAAUGGCGACUCUCCCGAGUCCCACCAAGAAAGGCUCUACCGAGUCUGGAAGGGCAACAACGUAAGCAUUAAUUUUAAAAUUUUUGUUUUGUUGAAUGUGGAUUUUCAAUGUUCGGUUAUGAAGAUUGAAUUUUUUUGAGUUGUUGUCAGAAAUUUUUGUGUGGUGGAAGAUUAGUGUUUGGUCAUGAUGGCGCAUCACUCUAUUUAACUAGCUUCUUGAUCGGAUGUCCUGCACUCACAUUCUGCAUAAGAAUGCUUGUCAUCAGACAUCAAGCACAUUAUGACUAUCCUGUAUUCACUGCAGGCCUUCUCCUCACUGUUUUGGUUGGUAAUUUGAAUCGAAUUCUUUCUUUAUUUACUUCUUCUCUUUCUUUCUUUAUAUUCAUUUCUUCUUCCUUAGUUCAAAUUUUCAUACUAAUUACUAUGCAGGAUUUUAUUUUUCUCUUCCUCACGUCUGGUAGAGAUCCGGGUAUAAUUCCGAGGAAUUCAAGACCGCCUGAAUCAGAUGGGGUUUGCGAAUCUACGCCAUCAAUGGAGUGGAUCAAUAACAAAGGUUCCAGUAUGAAAUUACCCCGAAUUAAGGAUGUACAAGUCAAUGGCCAUACAGUGAAGGUCAAGUUUUGCGAUACUUGUUUGUUGUAUCGUCCACCGCGCGCUUCUCAUUGUUCCAUAUGCAACAACUGUGUUCAGAAGUUCGAUCACCAUUGUCCAUGGGUUGGUCAGUGUAUUGGAUUAGUAAGUUACCUUUACCACUACCAACUAGGUUAUACAUACAUAUAAGCUUGCAACUUAUUUCUAUUUCUCUUAAUUACUAUUCUCUCAUUACAUUUCCAAGUGCUUAGUAUAAUAUUAGUAUCUAUGUCUCAUUUCAGUGGCUAGAAUUAUGAUUUUUUUUGGGUAAGCGUAGAGGGACUAAAUCAUUGCUCCUCCACGAAAAUUUAUUGAUAAGAGAAUAAAAGUACAAGAGGGUUAGAGGACUAGGCAGGGCUAGGCCAAAGCCAACCAUGAGAUAACAGUGAACACUACUACAAGAAUGCAGAACUAGCCAGGCUACACAAUCAAAACACCAAACAACCAGAAAUAAAAUGUACAUGUAACAAAGCAAUCAAAACGAACCAAAGACAUAAGCAGAACGAUCAACAUCUUCGAAAUGUAACCGUGGAUGCCAAAUCAUUGUUAAAGCUCUGCAGGAGAAAGGCAGGUUCUUCCCACCAACAAGCCCCUACCAUAUUAGCUCCAUAAUUAGCUAAGGCAUCUGCAAUUUCCUUCCCGAAACACAUGGGUCAGUCUAACAUUCAUUUGCUUCGUUGGCUGAAUCACAUUCCUCCAUUGGAUUUGUAACCUCCAAGGAAUAGUGUGGCUUAUGGAAGGAGUGAACUGUGACCUAAAGCAAAAUCAGUUUCAACCCAUAAAUUAUGCCACCCUUUUGACCAGGCAAUUGUCAAAGCUUCAAUAAACUAUUUUAUGAUUUCCUUAUGAAGAAAUUAAUUGUAUUUCUUGUAUUUCGUUAAAAGCACUACGUAGCCUUGCAAAAAGAUGAUGAGUUUGAAUAUACAAUGUUAACAAGAUGAGAAUGUAUUUCAGGUAGGGUAGUCAAUAAAACGAGGUAGAGGGAAGACAUUUGUGCAGGGCUUGACACCGUGGAGUGAGUAAUGUGAUUUAGGACGGUUUAAUCUGUUAUUUAAAUGUAUCAAAACAUGCCUUGGACCAAACUUGUACAUGUUACCUACAGAAUACCAGUUAGGUCCGAAUGAAUCUGAAUAAACCUGGAAGGUUUCAAAAAUCAUGUACAAGAACUAAUCCCUAUGCUCUUUGCAAAAAGCUAGUGCCCUUAAGCAACAAAAAUCCUUACUACAAGUUAAAUUCAGCAAAAGUUAUGAAUAAACAUCUUAACAUCAAAAGAAAAGAUCUAAGACCCUAUAAAAUUACAAAGUUAAUACAACGAAACAGAGGACAUAAACUACAAUAGCUUUCAAUUCACAUGUGCAGCCUACAAAGAAAUAUCAGCGUUUGACGCCUAAAAGUGAGGCCAAGUAUCAAAUACUGUCCCACGUGUGGUCUCUACCCUCACCCCUAGCUCUCUCAAAGGUUAUGUUAUUGUUUUUCGUCACAACAUAAACCUCAUGAACCCAUCAUUUAUUUACUUUUUACCUCAUCUCAUAUCAACAUCUCAUCUGACACUUCAUAUUUAUCUCAUAGAAACAUUGUGAAACCGCGAAUACUAUUCCCAAAAUAUUACGUACAGUUAAUUCGCAACCCCAAACUACACUGAGAUGUGAAAGAAAGAGGUCCUGAGAAUACUUCUGAUUACUAAUAUGGAGUUGUGAUGCAGGGAGAAGCAAGAGAUAGUGUGAGAGUGAAUAGGGUGGGCUGGAGAGUGUUGAGAGAUUAUAGAAAACAGAAGGAUUUUAGAAGAAACAGGAGUUUCUUAGCUGAAGAAAGGAGAAAUAGAACAGGAGAGGUUAGGGGAGAGGAUACAAGGCCAAGCCUUUAAUAAGAUAAACUCUUAUUUCAUUCCAAUCUGCCUUUGGAUUACAUUAGACCAUCUCCCAUCAUAGGCUAAAAAGCCAAAUUUAGCCUAUAGUUACUCCCAUCAUAAGCCAAAUUACAAUUCUUAAGGCAAAAAAUUUAGCUUGAGCUAUUUUGUAAGCCAAAUUUGGCUUAUGGGUUGGUAGGCUAAAACUAAGUAUUAUUUUAGUCAACUUUAGAUAUUAUUCUUCUAAUUUAUACUAGCAUCUAAAUUAAAAUUCGUUACCAACAAAAUUUUAUACCAUCGCGACAAUCUCGACGAGAUCUUUCAUAUGAGCCCCAUAUUAAAUAUAUUUAUAUAAAAUCUUUUUCAUGGUUAAUUAUUGAAUUAAAAAAUAUAUAACACAAGAAAAAAAAAUGGCUUUACCUUAGGAUUUGGCUUACAGUGGGAGUGUUUCGUAAGCCAAAAUACUCUUAAUUUGGCCAAGGGUUUAGUGGGAGAAUUUGGUAAGCUAAAAAAAAUUCUAUAGAAUAUUCUUGUUUUGUAAGCUAAAUUUGGCUUGAAAUUUGGCUUACGGUGGGAGCCAUAUUUAUAGGCUUCAAAUAAAACCCUUAGACUCCUAGAAUACUAUAAGACUAAUAUAACUUAUUAAUAAUAAGACUCUUAAAUACUUAAGACUUAAUAAAUAGACAUAAAGACACACUCAAGACUUUUUAAAACACUAGACUCGUAAUUAUUCUUUUCAUAACUGAAAAUAAAUUUUGUAACUGAAAAUAAAUACCAAGCAGACUUUUCCUUUGGACCAAAAAGGGUUGGGCUUAGUCUUUGGCUUCCAAAGAGGAUAUUUCUGUUCCAGCCAGCUUAUGGCUACUCCAUUAAGUUGCAAUGCCCGUAAAUUAUUUUCAAAUCAUAUUGUCAUCAAAUUAUAGCUAUGCAGUUGACAGCUGAAAUUUAUGAUUCUAAAGCACAUUUGUGUGUUACAUAUGUAUAUAUAAUUAUAUAUUAACCAAAAUUUCCUAAAAGUUUAUAUAUAAGUAAAUUUUGGAUUCGUACUGAAUUGGAAGUCACUUCUAUUAAUUCACAUGCUUUAAUAUAGAUAUCAAAAUAGGUUCACAUUACAUCAUUAUCGGUACACAUAGAUAUAAGCUCAUAAAUAAGGCGCCCUUAGACAUACUUAUAAGCUCAUCAAUAUAGGCUUGUCCACAUAAUAUAUUGAACGUUCAUUAAGAGUUCAUAAUUAAGUGGGCUUAUAUAGACACCUAAAUUUAAGUGAGUGUUUGUAGAAAAUUAUUUAGAUAUAGAUGGUCUCUGAAAUGGCAUAUCAAUUUGUUAACCGUGUUAAAAGAAUUAUUGUAGUUUAUUAUGACUAGCAAACUGAAUGACAUUUUGUCAUAUUGUGCUUGCAGCGUAACUAUCCAUUUUUCAUCUUGUUUAUUUCAUCAUCAACCUUGCUCUGCAUCUAUGUCUUUGUGUUUUCCUGGAUCAACCUUCUUCACCAACAUGGCAACUUAUGGAAGGCCAUGUCACGCGAUGUCGUCUCAGUAAUCUUGAUAGUAUAUUGCUUCAUAGCAGUCUGGUUUGUCGGGGGGCUUACAGUUUUUCAUGUCUAUCUAAUAUGCACCAACCAGGUACCAUUUUGCUAUUGUUCAUAUUUGCGUUAUUCAUGUGUUGAUAAAGGAAUCUUCUUGUGUGCAUAAAAUAAUUGAGCUUAGGGAGAUUUACACCAGAAUAGAUGUCAUAUAUGCUUUGAGUUUCCUUCUUUUCAUUUUGAUUGGAAGAACUUUUUGCGUUAUAUUUGCAAAAAUGUAUGUUCAAUGAAUUUACCAGCUGGCUUUAGAUAAUUGAACCACGUGGAAAAAGAAAAAGGUAUGAUCGAUCAUGUAUCUGAGUAGAUAGCUUAAAUUUUUUUGGACUGUAGCUUAAUUCCAUUACAGAUACAAAAGAAAAAUGAUAAUGAUAUAUCCUUGGUAGGAGACUUGGAAGCGACAUAGUUCAUAAAAGCAACUUGGUCUAUCUGGACAUUAGACAUAGUACUAAUGUGCCACAUCAUUUUAUAUUAUACUGUAUAAUAUAUUGAUUCAAGCUGAUGAAUUCUGGGAAUUCUGGUUAUCUCCUGAGCUAAAUGAAUAUACUGAUGAGCUAGUCAUAAUUUUGGCUGUUCCAGUUUGAGAAAACAUAGAGCUCGGUCAUGGAAAUUUUAGACAAUAUGAAUCCCACAUGUGUGUGUGUGUGUGUGUGUGUGUGUGUGAUACAUAUAAUCCUCUUUGUUGUGUGUGUGAAUGUGUGUGUGCGUGUGUGUAGUGAUACAUCCAAUCCUCUUUGUUCUCAUUUACCACCAGUCCCUUUGGGAAAGACCGUUUGUUCUACUUAUUAGGGUAAAGUCACAGUUCCACCUUUCUAAUUAUAAUUCAUUUAUAUUAUAUUUUUGAAACUAGAUGACAAACUUUUAUUAAAUAGGAAUAAACUUCUUAACAGUACAUCAUAAACAAAAUAAAAAGUUACAGAAUUAAAGAAAUUAAAGAAUUCUAAAAAGAGAGCCACAGUAAUACCGAAACCUAGAAAGUAAAAUUUAAAAUAACUGAAAAUAAAAAUAAAAUUAAGGAAGCCCUAAGGCCUAAGCCUAUGCCCAAAACAAGGUCCAGCUUAGACCCAGACACCAAUCUCCUCCUGAGACCCGAGAACUGUUCAAAAUUCGAGUCCGGAUCUCAAAUUUGGAUCCAAGGCCUUAGCCCAAAACCCGAUAAUGGAACCUUCUGGCUUGUUGAAACUCUUGGGCUGCGCGAUACAAUACUGAAUAGUGGUAAUCAAAGCCAUUAACGCUAUUAAAGCCAUUAACAUCGUUAAAGCCAUUAAAGCAAUUACAGCCGCAACAAGUAACGGCUGUAACGUCUCUCACCCUCCCUUUGAUCGCCAGCCCAACAGUCACCACCAAAUCAAGGAAACCCAGAUGCACCGCCGUCGCAACCUCAGACCGCCAAGAAGGUCCACUGCCACGAUCAACUACCUUCAUCCACAAUCAACAUGGGCUUGGAUCCUAGAUUCAUAUCCAUACCGUCCAAAUCGGCCUCUUGACAACACCGACUAACCACACCAAAUCACUUCCACCACACUAGUCGGUCUGUUGCGACACACCAUCUGCACCUCCAAUCUCCUGAAAUUGGACCAUGUUCGCUUCCAGAGCUAGGAGGAAAAUCUACUCGACCGAUUGACAAACUUGAUCCCUUGUUUAGAAAGCCUUAACGACAAUGAGGACAAGGUCCCCAGCUCCACCGACCUAUGUUGAUCAAGAGAGAGUUGAAUCAUAUCUUUUCUAGGCUCUACAUUCUAAGCUCUAGACGAGAGAGAGAGAGAGAGAGAGAGAGAGAGAGAGAGAGAGAGAGAGAGANAGANAGAGAGAGAAGAGAGAGNNNNNNNNNNNNNNNNNNNNGAGAGAGAGAGAGAUUUAUACUAUAUUUAAGAAAAAACUUCUUUUUACUUAAAUACGUCUUAUAUAUUAAAAUGCACUAUAGAAACCAAAUCAAUGUAAAUUAUAAUAAAUAAGUAAAGUCACUAAUAACGAAAUUAAAAAAUAGUAGAGCAAAAGUGGGAGGACCUCUAUAACGAGGACUAGUUGAUGAAUUUUCGGUUUAUGGUUAAAAAGACCCAUUUUUCAAUCAUAUUUUGGCAUCUCAUCCGUUCAGUUUUUAGGUCUAUACGAGUAGAUGAUUUAUACAAAUUUUCAACCAAAUUGGUGAUCGUUAAGGUAACAAACUAGAACAAAUUAAUGGACGAACCAGAUCUGUCAAACAUGAACCGUUCAAGUUCAUAAUGCCUUAACGAUUUUCAAUAUGGCUAAAAAAUUACAAAAAUGAUCUACUCAUAAAUACCUAUAAACUCAACGGUCAAGAUGUGGAUAUAAGAUCGAAAAAUCCUCAACUAGUCCUCAAUUUAAAGGUCCUCGUUAGAAGGGUUCCCAAGAAAAAGAUAUGCAUAACCGCCAACAAUUUUUGGAUACUUUCCCCCACUUCCAUCCAUGGCGGAUUAGCUGCCUAGCCUCCUCU
Molecule: long non-coding RNA, 19403 nt
Filed under: Fragaria vesca (wild strawberry)
Lineage: Eukaryota; Viridiplantae; Streptophyta; Magnoliopsida; Rosales; Rosaceae
Description: long non-coding RNA (FVES_LNC005428)
Source: RNAcentral